RNAcentral lists this long non-coding RNA (1010 nucleotides) under Equus caballus (horse). RNAcentral describes it as "lncRNA (ENSECAG00000059557.1)". The record is from RNAcentral. Lineage: Eukaryota; Metazoa; Chordata; Mammalia; Perissodactyla; Equidae.
GUCUGGUUGGAGUCGAGGCCCAAGACGCGGCCAGCCGCGGAGACGCCCACCGGGUAGGGGGCCGCCCCAUCCGCACGGGAGUGAGGUCGGCCGUGCUGAGCGAGAGUCCAGACAGCACCGAGCCUCGGUUCUCCUCAGCGGGACCAUGACUCUGUUCUAGAAUUUCCUUCUUGCAGCGGCCAGAACACCUCCGAACCCUCGGAUCUCCAGCAGAAUCUCCAGGAAUUGGCAGAUGCGACAGAUUAGGGGUUUGCAUCCUCUGAAGAGCUGUCUACACGUCCAGCAGCCCACCCCCCAGACUCAGCCCACCUCAAGGCAUCUGAUUCUGCGGCCAGCGCCGGCGAAUGCUCUUCUCUCCACAUUGCAUCUCAGAAGGACGGUUCUCCUGGGAGGAGGCGUCCACGCCAGCUGCACCCAGGGGCACUGGAAGGAGAGCGAUGCUUGCACCUCUGUCCCCGAAAACAGGACGCAGCGAUCGUUUACAAGCUCGGCGCUCUCUCUCCAAGACGUCAGCCAGGAGCUGUUGGAUCCACGGUGAACACUCUCGGUUCCCGCAGCAAACGCAGCGAGGCAUCCCGCUCCGGCCGCCAUUUGGAGAAGUCUGGCCUUGUUUCUGCAGUUGAUGGCUGAAGGCUUGAAAAUGGCUUGUCUAUCCAACUGCCCUUCCGAUGGUUCCACGUGGGGGUCUCGAAAGCAUCUCAGACUCAACGUGGCCGACUGAGCUCCUGCUCUUCCCUCAAACCUGCUCCUCCUGCGGUUUCACUAAACGGAGGCUCCAUCCUUCCAGGUGCUCAGGUCAAAAUGUUGGCUUGUCCCUGAGUUUUCUCUUCCUCUCUCAGCCCCACAUCCCUCCAUUGGCAGUCUUGUCGACUCUGUCUCGCUCACUCCGUUCCAGCCACCCGGGCCUCCUCACGCUGUUCCUCUAAUAUGCCAGCCACAGUCCUGCCCCAGGGCCUUUGCACGAUCUGUUUUCACUGCCACAACUCUUCCCCGACACAUCCAAAGGCAGA